RNAcentral lists this unclassified non-coding RNA (253 nucleotides) under uncultured Myxococcales bacterium. Its description in RNAcentral is "contains 16S-23S intergenic spacer region". It matches the Rfam family "Bacterial small subunit ribosomal RNA", at positions 524 to 776 of the family's 1533-position model. Lineage: Bacteria; Pseudomonadati; Myxococcota; Myxococcia; Myxococcales. The record is from RNAcentral.
UACGGAGGGUGCGAGCGUUAAUCGGAAUUACUGGGCGUAAAGCGCGUGUAGGCGGGCAUGCAAGUCAGGUGUGAAAGCCCCGGGCUCAACCUGGGAACUGCACUUGAAACUGCAUGCCUUGAGUGCCGGAGAGGAUCGUGGAAUUCCUGGUGUAGAGGUGAAAUUCGUAGAUAUCAGGAGGAACACCGGUGGCGAAGGCGGCGAUCUGGACGGUUACUGACGCUGAGACGCGAAAGCGUGGGGAGCAAACAGG